This 442-nucleotide ribosomal RNA is filed under the name Monomia argentata. RNAcentral's name for it is "partial 16S ribosomal RNA". It matches the Rfam family "Bacterial large subunit ribosomal RNA", at positions 1959 to 2597 of the family's 2925-position model. Lineage: Eukaryota; Metazoa; Arthropoda; Malacostraca; Decapoda; Portunidae. The record is from RNAcentral.
GCAUAAUCAUUAGUUUCUUAAUUGGGAACUGGAAUGAAUGGUCAAACAAAGAAAGAACUGUCUUUUUCAUUAAAAUUGAAAUUAACUUCCAAGUGAAAAGGCUUGGAUUUACUAAGGGGACGAUAAGACCCUAUAAAGCUUUAUAAGUUUAGGAAUUUUAAAUAUUUUGUAGAUAAAUUUAUUUUCCAAUAUCUUAUUUGGUUGGGGCGACAAAGGUAUAAUUAUGAAUAACUGCUAUUAUCAACAAUACAUCUAUCGUUGGCUAAAAUUUAUAAUAAUUGAUCCUCUUUAGAGAUUAAAAGAUCAAGUUACUUUAGGGAUAACAGCAUAAUUUUUCCUGAGAGUUCUUAUCAAAGGAGAAGUUUGUGACCUCGAUGUUGAAUUAAAAUGUCUUUAUAGUGCAGCAGCUAUAAAAGAAGGUCUGUUCGACCUUUAAUUUUUU